AGGGGAUUUUGCUUUUUAGGGCGUUGUCGGGGAGGUUGAGGGGUAAUAAGUCAGAUUUGGUUGCAUUAAGGAGGUAUCCCGAUAUUGUUGAGUAUUCUUGUAGUGUCGUCAGGAGAGCUGUUAUGGACGGUUCGGGGUUGGUUAAGGUUAGUAGUAUGUCGUCUGCGUAUGCUGCGACUUUGAAUGUUUCGCCCCUGACCUGUAACCCUUCUAUAAGUGGGUUCUUUCGUAUGGUCUCUAGAAGGGGCUCCAGGGAUAGGGCGAAUAAGAG
Molecule: non-coding RNA, 271 nt
Organism: Pelobates cultripes (western spadefoot toad)
Lineage: Eukaryota; Metazoa; Chordata; Amphibia; Anura; Pelobatidae
Source: the annotation of a GenBank genome assembly